This 533-nucleotide long non-coding RNA is filed under the name Helianthus annuus (common sunflower). Its description in RNAcentral is "hypothetical non coding rna". The record is from RNAcentral. Lineage: Eukaryota; Viridiplantae; Streptophyta; Magnoliopsida; Asterales; Asteraceae.
UGGCUGGAGCGCCACCAGCCCAAUUACCUUCAAAACAUCAUGCAGCUCAUCAGCAACCAGUUGUUGGAAGUUGAAUUCGGAGGCUCUUACAGCAGCAUGAUGAGCUAUGUGCCCGCCAGCGCUAUCAACCGCGAUAAAGCAGCGUGAAAUAUUCGGAUUCUCUGGAAACUUUUUCGACCUAUUCUCUUCAAUGUCCAAAAACCUCAGCACAUCAAUCCCAUCGUCAUGUUGCGCAGGGUGUCGUUGCUCAGGUGCAAGACGAUAAUCAACAGAAACAACUAUCACAUGCAAUUCUCUCGUGAACUUGCGGCAAACGUUGUAGUAUGGCUUCACGUCCGAGGAGAGGACAAUAUAUGCACCACCGUGAAAGAACACCAUGACAGAGAGAUCGAUAUAUUGAAUCAUUAUUAACUUUUUUUUUUUUUAUAAUGCAAACCAAAUUUGAUAAAUGUAUUUUAUUGAUUUGUUAUGGAUAUAGUGAAUCAUUAUUAUUAUUUUUUUAGUUAUAGAUAUAUUGAAUCAUUAUUAUUAUU